GUGUCGGUAGUGCGACGGUUUAGCAUGCGCUCCCGGAAAGAGUGAGAUCUGGGCUUGAAUCUCAGCUGACGCA
Non-coding RNA from Parelaphostrongylus tenuis, 73 nucleotides. The record is from the annotation of a GenBank genome assembly. NCBI's taxonomy places the organism in Eukaryota, Metazoa, Nematoda, Chromadorea, Rhabditida, Metastrongylidae.